Molecule: ribosomal RNA, 254 nt
Filed under: uncultured bacterium
Lineage: Bacteria
Description: partial 16S ribosomal RNA
Rfam family: Bacterial small subunit ribosomal RNA
Source: RNAcentral
CACGUAGGGGGCAAGCGUUGUCCGGAUUUAUUGGGCGUAAAGAGCUCGUAGGCGGCUCAGUAAGUCGGGUGUGAAACCUCCAGGCUCAACCUGGAGACGCCACCCGAUACUGCUGUGGCUUGAGUCCGGUAGGGGAGCGUGGAAUUCCUGGUGUAGCGGUGAAAUGCGCAGAUAUCAGGAGGAACACCAGCGGCGAAGGCAGCUCGCUGGGACGGUACUGACGCUGAGACGCGAAAGCGUGGGGAGCAAACAGG